GGGAACAUAGGCUUCUGACCUUGGUGUUUUUCCACCAUACCUGCCUUUGGUAUAUAAGGCUCCACUCUUGUAAAAAUAAACACCAUUCCCCUUGUAAGAAUAGCGGCUGUCUUUGUCUUUAAAUUCAUCCUUAGCCCUUAGCCUCGGAUUAUUGUGAAGUAUGGUAGCACUGUAGCUGCAAACACACCGGCGGCAUGCUACAGAUGGAGGUCCCACUGAGAUCGGAAAAGAAGAAGAACUGAAUGCUGGCCAGCAAGUAAGAAGCCUGAGUCAGCCCAUGUGAGACCCGUGGAUACUGCAGACGCCCAAGUGCUGAUCUGGGACUGGGACCUUGGAGCCACCACCAGCUUCAGGCAGGCAGCCUCCCAGCUGAGGCAUCAUCCAGCAAGGAAAACUGAUUACUACAUCAUGCCAGGAGACACACGUGGUCCUCUCUAAUGAUGCUAUAGUAGACCGUGGCUUCAAAGCAUGUCAGCCUGACUUCUCCAGGGUGACAUUUCUGGUUUGGUAUUUGCCCUCCAGUGUUGACAUAGCAGUAUUGACUCUCAACAUCGAAGGACUCAGAAUUACAUGGACACAGUCUCUGGGCAUGUCAGGGGGGAUUAUUUAGAUUAGGCUGAUUGAGGCUGAAAAGUGGGUGAUACCACUCUGCCAUUCUGUGGGCUGGGGCCUGAACUGAAAACACAGAAGGAAAGGAGCAGAGCGCCAGCAUCCAUGGCUCUGCUUCCCAGCUGCAGAGGCACCGUGACCAGCUGUCCCCUGUUCCUGUUGCCAUGACAUCCUGCCUUGGAGAACUGUGUGCCCUGGAACUGCAAGUCAGAAUAAGCUUAGUCAGGUCAUUUUCCACAGUCGAGACAGAAGCCCUCUGACUGGUACCUGAUAGAAGGACCACGUGACCUUAAUUAUCAGAAGUUUGUGGCUUGCCUCAGGCUUUCAAACUCCUCUAGUGACUACCAUCUGGUAUCUGAGGGCGUGACUACCCUGAGACUGCCACAUUGUGAGGAAGCCCACACCAGCCAUUCAGAGCUGUCACAGCUCGAGAGAGGGGGCUGGGGAGAUAGAUAGUGGGAAAAGCGUUUGUCAUACAAGCACAGGAACCUGAGUUCAAAGUCCCAGAACCCGUGUCAAAAGUCCGACAUUGUAGCUAGCAGCCGCGUCUGUAAUCCCAGGGCUCCUCUGGGACAUCGGAGGCAGAGAUGAUAGAAUCCCUAGAAGCAGUGAACAAGAGAGCCUGUCUCAAACAGUGUGGGAGUGAGAACUGGCACCUGGGUGUGUGUCACCGUUCCCUUGUGCUCACAUACAUAUUCUAUAAAAAACAUUUAAAACGUGGAGAGAUGGGGGUGGGGCUCCCCAGUCUCUACGGUCAUCUUGGUGGAGGUUAAGGCCUGAGGAGGAUAAGACCAACAAGACAGCCGCUGACGAACUUGACCUGCAUAGGAGGCUCUGGGUGGGAUCUGCUCAGCUGAGGCCAGUGGGCUCUAAUGGCGCCAAGAAUACAAACGUGUUUAGUCCACACAAAUAGGAGUGGCUUGAUAUUAACCAGAUAUUCAUCAGAGUUUCCUCUGAUGUUGCAACCAUUGCUGGCACAAUUGUUUUCUCAGAUUUCUUCUUUCAAAAAAGGCUUUCCUGUGUUUGCUUGA
Long non-coding RNA from Mesocricetus auratus (golden hamster), 1640 nucleotides. RefSeq lists it as uncharacterized. NCBI's taxonomy places the organism in Eukaryota, Metazoa, Chordata, Mammalia, Rodentia, Cricetidae. The record is from RefSeq and is a predicted model, not a curated record. The transcript is spliced from 3 exons.